This is a long non-coding RNA of Centruroides sculpturatus (bark scorpion), 2352 nucleotides long. RefSeq lists it as uncharacterized. Lineage: Eukaryota; Metazoa; Arthropoda; Arachnida; Scorpiones; Buthidae. The transcript is spliced from 3 exons. The record is from RefSeq and is a predicted model, not a curated record.
UGGGAACUGUCAACCUCUCAGUAAAAUCCCCUUUUACUGUUCACGUGGAAAAAUACAAAUUAAUGAUUGGUGAAAAUUCGUGAGAAAGAGAAAGAAUCUAGUAUCAUUCGGGGAGUACGCCACGAAAUUCGAGAGGAGGAGGACGUAUUCUACAUCAUCUCUCGACGGCCAACGCCCAUAAUAGACUCACAUGUUUCGUAUUAAGUCAGUAAAUACAUUGAAGAAAAUGUUUAUUAAUGUGCCAUUGAAUAAUUGACCAAGAAAGAACAUUCAUCCAGAACUAAAGAUACAAGAAGAUAAAAGACAUGAUUCGAGAAUGGAAUUAGAUGAAAGAGAAUGAUGUGAGGAGAAUGAUAUAUGAAGAACAGAUAUGGAAUCCUUAGAGGCAGCAGGAUGCCCCGAUUACCUGUUCAUGAAAUUCCGCUGCAAACCUGAAGUCACGCUAUUUCGAUUUAAAAGUUUUCACCCGAAAGCAGUUAUAGAUGAUCUGCACGACUCUAAUCGACGUGGCUAAUUGCAGGUGAGCAUAUAUUUUAAAUUAAGUAAAUUAUCAAUAAGAUUAAAAACUGCAGUCCGGCAUUGUGACCGUGUCACAAUAAAUCACUCCUCAUUAUUAAUUUUUUAUAUUGUUUAAAAGUAUUCAUCCUUUUUCAAUAAUACUCGAAUGAAAUAAUAUUUUUCGAAUUUCAAUUGUAAAUUUCGAAAAAUACAGAAGUGAAAACAAUUAGCAUUUAAAUAUUAGAUUGUGUCACUUAUUUUUUUCCAGAAAAUUGACAUUUCAUUUGCACAGAAAAGAAGCAAAUACCCAUUGAGAUAGAGAAGUGGUAAACUGUAUUUAUAUUUUAAUUAUUGAAUAGAUUUGACUCAUCAGGAAAGAAGUUAAAAUCUUUCAGAAAGAAAUCGAAAGAAUCGUGUCUAUUUGUUUCUCUGUCGUCGUCUUCGGUUCCAUCAGAAAUGAAAAGAGAAGAAGAAACGACAAUAAAUAGCAUUAACACGCAACACUUCGCUCGUUACUACUGACGCCUUUUCGUUGUCUUUCGUGUCGAGAAAAGACGAGGAUAGUUUUAUUUUACACUCUGUUGAUACCUUACAAUUCUUUGAGUAUUUGGAGACAGAGUGAUGAUUCUGUUGUAUUUUCUUCUGUAUGACAAAGUGAACGGAAGCUUAUGGAAUUCUCAUGCAGAAAUGGUGCUGAUCUGAAGAAAAUCUCGUUGACAAUUACAUUAGAAAAAAAAUAAGAAAGAAAAAAGACUUCCUAAGUAGCUGAAGACGAUUUUUCAGGUAAUAUUUCUUGAUAUAUCGAAUGGCCCUAGAGUUUGGUUAAUGGAAUGCGCUAACAAGUAUAGAAAGUGCUUUACGUUUUUCUGUUGAAUGAAGUUUUUUGACUUAAUAUAGACAAACGUAAGUAAAUCUCUAAUUUUUUUCUCACGCAUUGUCAAAACCACAAUUUUUAAGAAAAGGUUAGAAAUUGGUUGUUUUUAAUAUUUCAAAUUUUUCAAUCAAAACUGAAAUAUGAAAAUAAAAGGAAAGGAUUUUCGUAAAAUACAGUUUUAUAUGAAUUACUUGUUUUUAAACAUAGCAGACAAAACUAUUUUAAAUAUCGUAUUAAUAAUUAAUCAAUGCAUUUCACACGUAUACGUAUUCUUGUUUAAGAAAAUUGACUUAAAUCGUUUAUUUUUCAGAUUUUGAACCCAGCUUUAAUUUUCUGGCAUGACGUGUUCAAGAAAUGAUUUCUAAAAUGAAAAUUUUUUGAAAUUAAAUAAUUUGUUUUAUAAAAUAAUGUAUGACGUCAUUCUCGUAUUUGAAUUCAUUGAAAACUUUAUUUUCAGAUUCACUAUCACCCAAUAAAGAGAAGUGUAACAAAUGAAGAAUUGUUUCCAGAAAAAAAGGAUGAGUCGAGGAAUGUGUUUAACUUCUGUUUACAGAAGACUAAAUUGAAGACAGUGAUAAGAAAUUAUACGAGAAUAUGAAAAAAGGAAGAAUAUAUGUGAAGGAAAUGAAGAGAAACAGAAAAUGAAAUGAAGAAGAUAUUUUAAAUAAUUUCCAAAUACGUUGUUAUUUGUGAAAAUACUCUUCAUAUAAAAUGUUUUGAGAUAAAUGUAUAAAUUACAUUAAUUUGUGACAGUAUGUUCAUACUGCUUGGAAAUAUUUGAAAAUGUUGGUUGAAGCAGUUUACGUAUGGUUUAUUGUUUGAUGUGGGGUGGUUUAGUUAGUUGUAAGGUAUCAAUUUUCGUUUAAAGAAUCUUGCUAGAAGGAAAUUCUUUUUUUUAUCUGCACACACAAGUUUAACAAUCUUUUAAAAGCAGCGCGCUUAAAUUUAGAAUUUUACAUAUUCGAUUAGCAAUAAAUUGA